AACGAACGCUGGCGGCAGGCUUAACACAUGCAAAUCGAAGGUGAAACUGGACUUCGGUCCAGUGGAAACUGGCGCACGGAUGAGUAACGCGUGGGAAUCUACCUAAUGGUUCAGAAUAACCGCGGGAAACUGCGGCUAAUACUGAAUAAGCCCUCCGGGGGAAAGAUUUAUCGCCAUUAGAUGAGCCCGCGUCGGAUUAGCUUGUUGGUGAGGUAACGGCUCACCAAGGCGACGAUCCAUAGCUGGUCUGAGAGGAUGAUCAGCCACACUGGGACUGAGACACGGCCCAGACUCCUACGGGAGACAGCAGUGGGGAAUAUUGGACAAUGGGCGCAAGCCUGAUCCAGCCAUGCCGCGUGAGUGAUGAAGGCCUUAGGGUUGUAAAGCUCUUUCAGCAGGGAAGAUAAUGACGGUACCUGCAGAAGAAGCCCCGGCUAACUCCG
This 443-nucleotide ribosomal RNA is filed under the name uncultured Alphaproteobacteria bacterium. RNAcentral's name for it is "bacterial SSU rRNA". It matches the Rfam family "Bacterial small subunit ribosomal RNA", at positions 29 to 505 of the family's 1533-position model. Lineage: Bacteria; Pseudomonadati; Pseudomonadota; Alphaproteobacteria. The record is from RNAcentral.